UACGUAGGGGGCAAGCGUUAUCCGGAUUCACUGGGUGUAAAGGGAGCGUAGACGGCCAUGCAAGCCUGGAGUGAAAGCCCGGGGCCCUACCCCGGGACUGCUCUGGGAACUGUGUGGCUGGAGUGCGGGAGGGGCAGGCGGAAUUCCUGGUGUAGCGGUGAAAUGCGUAGAUAUCAGGAGGAACACCGGCGGCGAAGGCGGCCUGCUGGACCGCGACUGACGUUGAGGCUCGAAAGCGUGGGGAGCAAACAGG
Molecule: ribosomal RNA, 253 nt
Filed under: uncultured bacterium
Lineage: Bacteria
Description: partial 16S ribosomal RNA
Rfam family: Bacterial small subunit ribosomal RNA
Source: RNAcentral